This 253-nucleotide ribosomal RNA is filed under the name uncultured bacterium. RNAcentral describes it as "partial 16S ribosomal RNA". It matches the Rfam family "Bacterial small subunit ribosomal RNA", at positions 524 to 776 of the family's 1533-position model. RNAcentral also lists the same sequence under 1 other name. The record is from RNAcentral.
GACGAACCGUGCGAACGUUGUUCGGAAUCACUGGGCUUAAAGGGCGCGUAGGCGGGCCCUCAAGUCCGGGGUGAAAGCCUCCCGCCCAACGGGAGAAGCGCCUCGGAGACUGGGGGCCUCGAGGGAGGUAGGGGCAAGCGGAACUGUGGGUGGAGCGGUGAAAUGCAUUGAGAUCCACAGGAACUCCGGUGGCGAAGGCGGCUUGCUGGACCUCUUCUGACGCUGAGGCGCGAAAGCCAGGGGAGCGAACGGG